This 372-nucleotide ribosomal RNA is filed under the name uncultured organism. Its description in RNAcentral is "bacterial LSU rRNA". It matches the Rfam family "Bacterial large subunit ribosomal RNA", at positions 2195 to 2465 of the family's 2925-position model. The record is from RNAcentral.
AGAUACCACCCUUCUAUACGUAUGCCUCUAACUCAGCAUCAUGUUUAUAAUCAUGAUGUUAGUGGCUAAUUCGAAAAAUUAUAAAUAAGUACAACUUGUCUAAAGUUUUUCUUACUACACGCAUUCGCAUCUAUCGCUUGUCGAUAUGAUGCUGAGGACCGUGCUUGGUGGGGAGUUUAACUGGGGCGGUUGCCUCCUAAAACGUAACGGAGGCGCACAAAGGUAGGCUAGGUCCGGAUGGAAAUCGGACUGGUCGUGUAUUCGCACAAGCCUGCUUGACUGAGAGACCUACAAGUCGAUCAGAGACGAAAGUCGGUGAAAGUGAUCCGGCACCAACAUGUGGGAGUGGUGUCGCUCAACGGAUAAAAGUUA